Rhineura floridana is the source of this 355-nucleotide long non-coding RNA. RefSeq lists it as uncharacterized. The transcript is spliced from 3 exons. The record is from RefSeq and is a predicted model, not a curated record. Lineage: Eukaryota; Metazoa; Chordata; Lepidosauria; Squamata; Rhineuridae.
CUGAGGGAGAAGAGUUUGAAAGUUCUGUCUGUCCUUCACCAGCCCAUUCCUUCACCUGCAUGCCAUUCUUUGUUGCCUAUGGCUACGAGGAGUAGUUUCCAGCUUUCUAUAAUAAAAUCUAUAGUGCCAAUUGCCUCACUAUCUGGUCUGGACUCAGAUUUCUUAUGAUGCUUUUAUACUUGAUUGUCUGCUUCUCCCGGGGCUCUCAUAUUAGAAGUGCAACUGUGUCUGUAAUCCUGGGCCAAGAAGACUAUCCCUAUUCCUAAAGUUUCAGUUUCAGUUGCGCUGUCUACCAAGCCUGCAAUAAAGAAGCAAGUUUGUUUGCCUGCAGUAGGAAGUAUUAGUUGUUCGUUGU